ACUACAGGUCCUGCCAGUGUAUAAUCCUGGGGUCAGAUCUCAGAAGCUAAGCAGGACUGGGCUGGGGUAGGACUUGGAUGGGAGACCGCAGGGAGUACCAGGUGCCACAGUG
Molecule: ribosomal RNA, 112 nt
Filed under: Periophthalmus magnuspinnatus
Lineage: Eukaryota; Metazoa; Chordata; Actinopteri; Gobiiformes; Gobiidae
Source: RNAcentral